AAAAAAAAGACAAUAGUUUGCCUAAUACGGCCCUUAAUCUGAUAAAGCAGAUAUCUCAUCCUAAAUCCCAGGUGCCGGGCCAACCCCAAACAAAGUCGCCGCCAUUGUCUUGUGUCCUUGUGUUCAUCUGACUAUCCGUCCCUCCUGUAUGGCGCGGCACCUUUUGAGGCAAGGAGGUAAGAAAACUGCCUCUGAUCCAAGCAGAGCAGGUCAGUGAGAAGGCGGGCAUCGCUUGGGGCUGUGGAUGUCUGCCUGUAGGUCUGCUGUAGGGCUUGUCACGAUUGGAAGCAAAGAAAGGAGGAGAAAAUUACUCCAGAUCAGUGCAGGUCCAACUUCAGUGACAGAUCUGGUGGCCUUGGAGUGGCUGAAGACCACCACCCUCCACCGGGCUGCACCCAGGCAUAGCCAUCCUUUCCUACUUUGAAACACCCUAGCCUGUAAUACCAGGUGUGAGUACUGCUCUCAGUGUUGGAAAGCUUCACAAUACAAUCGGAUCAGAUCCUUUGGAAAUACUCUCUGUUUCAAAUUCACUGUGGAGUACAGACUUAAUCAGUUGAUGGCUAUGGAAUUUUCCAACGUCAGCUAAAG
Galeopterus variegatus (Sunda flying lemur) is the source of this 588-nucleotide long non-coding RNA. RefSeq lists it as uncharacterized. The transcript has 4 exons. The record is from RefSeq and is a predicted model, not a curated record. Lineage: Eukaryota; Metazoa; Chordata; Mammalia; Dermoptera; Cynocephalidae.